RNAcentral lists this ribosomal RNA (207 nucleotides) under uncultured bacterium. RNAcentral describes it as "partial 16S ribosomal RNA". It matches the Rfam family "Bacterial small subunit ribosomal RNA", at positions 568 to 774 of the family's 1533-position model. The record is from RNAcentral.
CUCGUAGGCGGUUUGUCACGUUUGCUGUGAAAUCCCGAGGCUCAACCUCGGGCCUGCAGUGGGUACGGGCAGACUGGAGUGCGGUAGGGGAGAAUGGAAUUCCUGGUGUAGCGGUGGAAUGCGCAGAUAUCAGGAGGAACACCGAUGGCGAAGGCAGUUCUCUGGGCCGUAACUGACGCUGAGGAGCGAAAGCGUGGGGAGCGAACA